CUACUCCCCACUUUUUCUUCUUCUCCAGGUGGUUUUGGUUUUCUCAUUGCAGUUGCUUGAAUGGCUCCUUCAUCUGGAGGUUUACUUCAUGUGGAUACAAAGUCUAAUGGCAUGAGUGGAGUCAGAAAAAGUAACAUCUAAACAGCUGACCAAACGAGCUCCUUUUCGCUUGCAAUUUUGAGGAAAAGUUCUACUCGACACGAGGAACAUUCCUACGAUGACUGAUUUCGUUUUCAACGGUCGGAUUGUUAGAGCUGCGAUAACAUAGUGGGCUUGCAAGGAGGGGCGUUGGGCCUAACAACCCACCAGAAUUUUGGUCAACUGGCAGUUGACUGGUUCGUCUAAAACUGGACGAUUUGACUAUCGGUUCAAGCGGUUCAAAGCUGGUCCAACCUUGAAUGGUCCAAUUCGCCGGAGAGGCUGUUGGUUAGUGGUCAGAUUGACCGGUUCAAUCUGGUUUUCAAAACAAUGCUUUUAUCUCACUUCAACUUUUUUAGGUGAUUCAAUAGAUCUAUACUAGAAUGUAUGAUUAAUAACCUCCUUUCACUUUUAAUACUAUAAUUAUAAGCUUAGUUGUGUUUCUGUA
Long non-coding RNA from Vitis riparia (riverbank grape), 586 nucleotides. RefSeq lists it as uncharacterized. The transcript has 4 exons. Lineage: Eukaryota; Viridiplantae; Streptophyta; Magnoliopsida; Vitales; Vitaceae. The record is from RefSeq and is a predicted model, not a curated record.